Molecule: ribosomal RNA, 140 nt
Filed under: uncultured bacterium
Lineage: Bacteria
Description: partial 16S rRNA
Rfam family: Bacterial small subunit ribosomal RNA
Source: RNAcentral
UGGGGAAUUUUCCGCAAUGGGCGAAAGCCUGACGGAGCAAUGCCGCGUGGAGGUGGAAGGCCUACGGGUCGUCAACUUCUUUUCUCGGAGAAGAAACAAUGACGGUAUCUGAGGAAUAAGCAUCGGCUAACUCUGUGCNG